UUAUUAACUCUUUAAAAAACCCCCCACAAGCCAUCACCUCGUGGGUACCAUGGCUGAAUUCAUCUUCAAAAUCGAUUGCAACGGUGCGGCAUUGGUGGAUUCGUGAAACCACAAAGUGGGGAGAACCAUAGAAGAUCAAUUCUACUUGGGCUUUGUCUCUUUAAAGAAUGCUUGGGGGAGGUUUGAUAUUGUGGGUCUUCUAAGAUAGAAGUUCAAUAGCAGUUUUGGGUAUAUGGGGACAACCAAAGAUGCAAUGGGCAUAGAUUAUGAAUCAAUCUUUUGCUGUGAUGUUAACAACCACACCAUUGUUCAAAUGAACUCACAAUACACCGGUGCCACGAGUACACAAUUGAAGAGCUCAUCACAAAGAGCUUCAACAACGUUGACACUGUCCUCUUUAGCAAUCAGAUUGGCCAGAUGAAUAUGGAGAAAGGUACAUCAUGGACAACAGUACUUAAUCUUUCUCCCUCUCUCUUUGGUAUUGGAACACCAAUGUUUCAUUUUUUUUUUUUUUUUUUCCUUUUGGGUUUUCAAUUCUGGCAGAUUAUUAUUGGAACACCCGUGUUUGAAGAAAUGCUUAAACUGAACUUUGGAUCAGAUGUGUGGCACCCAAUUGUUUAUGCACGCACUAUGCUAUUUACAGAUUUCUUUUAAAUUUUGUUGUGCAUUGUGAUAUCAAUAUUUGGUUAAGAUUAAUACUUUGAAAUAGAUUCUCAUGUUGUUGUUGCUUUAUGGUUAGAUACAUAAUUUGGAUCUAUGUAACUUUCUUCCUACCAGAUAGUUAGAUACUCUUUUUUUUUUUGGGUAAAAAUGUCCACACCCUGCUGUUGUUAAUUAGUCAUAAAGUUAAUUAAGCUAUUUGUGUCUUAGUGAGAAGAACAUGUAUUUUCAUGUUCUAUGGUUCUAUCUACCAAAUUACUCUCAGUUCUUGGUUUGCAAAAGUCUGAUUGCAAAAUUAAGAUUAGGGCUCCUAUAGAAAAGACAGUAACAAUGUGCCAUUUUUCCAGGGCUUUCUGCCAUGGAAGCUUAUGCUGCUAUGCAAAGGGUUCACCCAAUGAAAUUUGGAUUUCAUUAGCAUAUCAAUUUCAGUUUGAGUCCGACAAAAUCUUUAUUCAAAAUUUCCACAUUUUCCCUCCUUUCAAUGAGUUCAUCCUUCAAUUGAUUGAUCUCACUUUGCAAAGCCAUCUCAUGGGCAACAUGCAAACCUUUCAGUUCUACUUUCUCAGCCUUAGAUUGCCUUAUUUCUUUUUCUAAUGAUCCACUUCUCAAUUCCCAUUCUUUGGGCAUAGCAUCAAACAAGGUCUUCUUUUCUGACAAACUUGAAAUAUCAGAUUGCAUUUGUACCUUCUCCCUAGAGAAUUGUUCUUGGACAUCACGCAAUGAGGUGGUCAGAGUAACCUAAGAGUUUUGACAAAAAUUUCUUCUUUCUAAUAAUUUUAGUGUCUAAAGAGAAGUUAUAUUUAGGAUUUUGUAGAAUUUUUUUGUUAUUUCUAUAAUCCUAUUUGAUAACAAGCCAUUGAUGAAUUUGGGAUCUAGAGUAACCUAAGAGUUUCAACUAGGGGCUAAAACUUAUUGACUAUUGGUCCAUUAAAAAAUAUAAUGGAGUGUUUCUGUAAUUUGGUUUUAGGAUUAUUUGGUUUACUGUUUAAUAUAAUUGAGAUUUUGACGUAAGAUUCCUAGGUUGGAGUUAUCAUUUUUUGUACAAUAUGGAAAAUCACUUGAUGAUGACCUUUUUAAGCUGGCAACAACAUGGUACAAUGUUAUUUUCUUCUACUUCCAACAGAGAGUAACUAGCUUAAAUUUUUUUUUUUUUUUAAGUAAUAAGAAUUUUUUAAAAAGAAGAGGGGUGUCACCUGAGUAUACAGGAAGUAUACAUCAAGGACAAAUACAAAUCAAGUGCAUAAAGUACAAAAGUCCAUGAAACCAUGGACUGAAGAAAAAGAACGAAAGCCAAACACUGUAACCCAAUCUAGAAGAGUUUUAAGGUAGAAGAGUUUAAGAUCUGCAACUGAUCUCUCUAAAUCCUCAAAAUGCCGGUUAUUCCUCUCCCUCCAAAUGCACCACAUCAAACAAUGGGCACAGCCAUCCAAAUGGUUGAAUUCUGAUGCCUCCCCAACUUUCCUUGCCAACAAGCCAACAGAUCCACCACUGUUUUCGGCAUAACCCAAUGAAUGCCAAACAGAGUAAACACCAUAGACCAUAAAUGAAAAGCAAUAGAGCAAUGGAUAAAGAGGUGGUCAACAGAUUCCUCAUUUCUUUUACACAUACAACACCAAUCCAAAAUCAAAAUCUGCCGUUUCCUAAGAUUAUCAAUAGACAAAAUAUUCCUUAAAGCUGCAGUCCACACAAAAAAGGGAGUUAUUAAGACCUGAAAUUUCAAGGAAGAAACUGAAAAACACAAGGAACUAAUUUUCUAUAAAAUUUGAUGUGAUUCAAAGAUUGUUUGUUUGGUUAAAGAAUUGAAGUUUAGCACUGAACUUUGAGUGAGUUGAAAUAUGAGGCAAGAAUGAGCUUUUGGUAUGAAAUUUGGUGUGACAACAUCUCUCAUACUGAAUCUAAACAUGUAAAAGGGGUUUAAGUAUUUUGUAGUGUAACAUAAUCUAUUUAUGCUUUUCAAUUCAUGUUUACUAUUUUAAGUCAUGAUAUUCGGUCACCUGGCAUAAAGGAAAAAAAAAAAAA
Molecule: long non-coding RNA, 2679 nt
Organism: Quercus lobata
Lineage: Eukaryota; Viridiplantae; Streptophyta; Magnoliopsida; Fagales; Fagaceae
Exons: 4
Source: RefSeq, a predicted model, not a curated record